Molecule: non-coding RNA, 181 nt
Organism: Danio rerio (zebrafish)
Lineage: Eukaryota; Metazoa; Chordata; Actinopteri; Cypriniformes; Danionidae
Source: RefSeq, a predicted model, not a curated record
CUUGAGCCUUAGUGUUUAUAUUCUCUGUGUGUUUUUAAGAUAAUUCAUUUUUUUCAGUCCAUAUUUUAUUCUGCACAGUAUGUCGUGGAGCAAGGGUAAAGUUAAAUAUGGAGCAUAUUAUGAUGAUCUUGAAAUGGAUGAAGAAACACCACUUAUAAGAGCACAAAAUGGUAAGAAACCU